This 583-nucleotide small RNA is filed under the name Pan troglodytes (chimpanzee). Its description in RNAcentral is "retained intron". The record is from RNAcentral. Lineage: Eukaryota; Metazoa; Chordata; Mammalia; Primates; Hominidae.
AUUUUACUAUCUCUUUCCCUGUGCCUUGCCUGGUUUGGAAAUUCUGGCCGUUUAUUGUUUAAGCAAAACAAAGCUAUAAUAUUGUAAGAUUGCUUAAUUUAUUAAAUUUUUUUGUGGAUAUUUAAACGAAGGUGACAAUCUGUUUUCUUAUAGGUGGUAAGUUUUCUUCAUACAGUUCUUUUGUGUGACAAACUGGAUUUCAGCACGGCGUUAGUGGUUUGUCCUCUUAAUACUGCUUUGAAUUGGAUGAAUGAAUUUGAGAAGUGGCAAGAGGGAUUAAAAGAUGAUGAGAAGCUUGAGGUUUCUGAAUUAGCAACUGUGAAACGUCCUCAGGAGAGAAGCUACAUGCUGCAGAGGUGGCAAGAAGAUGGUGGUGUUAUGAUCAUAGGCUAUGAGAUGUAUAGAAAUCUUGCUCAAGGAAGGAAUGUGAAGAGUCGGAAACUUAAAGAAAUAUUUAACAAAGCUUUGGUUGAUCCAGGCCCUGAUUUUGUUGUUUGUGAUGAAGGCCAUAUUCUAAAAAAUGAAGCAUCUGCUGUUUCUAAAGCUAUGAAUUCUAUACGAUCAAGGAGGAGGAUUAUUUUAA